Bactrocera oleae (olive fruit fly) is the source of this 543-nucleotide long non-coding RNA. RefSeq lists it as uncharacterized. The record is from RefSeq and is a predicted model, not a curated record. Lineage: Eukaryota; Metazoa; Arthropoda; Insecta; Diptera; Tephritidae.
ACGGAGGGGUUCUCCGAGCACUUAAUUGCAAUACAAUGAAAUAAACUGCCAAUUUCUAAAAUAUAAAUGUAACUAAAUAAUCUGUAUUAUUAUGUUAGUAAAUAUCUAUGUAAUAUAAAAUGUACUAUAUGAUAUUGUAUUGAGUAAUAAUUAAUUAAAUUUCAUACGUAAAAUAUACACCACCGUCUGCAUUAACCCGUUCAAUCAACUGUUGAUUGUUGACUGACUGCCGUCCCUAAAUGCGAUGUUUAAUGCUUGUACAUAUGGAUAAUUUAAGUGAGAAUUUGACGUAAAGUUGCCGCUUUAUUUAAGGAUGGCGUAUCGGAAUUAAUGCUGAGCGGUAAAAACGCGCCGCUCGACGCUUUUCUUAAGGGACGGCAGUAACUUUAUCGUCGCUUUGUCCCAUCGUAAGUGCUUGUUUUACGCUCUUCGUUUGUGCGUAUUUGUGAGAAUCCGUGUGUAUCCUUGUAUAUAAGCCUAACUUGUGUAUUAUUACUAAGUCUAAUAUUUAAUAAACAAAUUUGUGCAUUGCUGUUUAACAAA